RNAcentral lists this transfer RNA (72 nucleotides) under Parcubacteria group bacterium CG1_02_37_13. RNAcentral's name for it is "tRNA-Glu". It matches the Rfam family "tRNA". From Rfam's summary of the family: Transfer RNA (tRNA) molecules are approximately 80 nucleotides in length. Their secondary structure includes four short double-helical elements and three loops (D, anti-codon, and T loops). The record is from RNAcentral. RNAcentral also lists the same sequence under 2 other names.
GGCGCUAUCAUCUAGUGGUUAGGAUUCCUGAUUUUCAAUCAGGCCACCGGAGUUCGACUCUCCGUAGCGCCG